This 374-nucleotide unclassified non-coding RNA is filed under the name uncultured Ignavibacteria bacterium. RNAcentral describes it as "contains 16S-23S intergenic spacer region". Lineage: Bacteria; Pseudomonadati; Ignavibacteriota; Ignavibacteria. The record is from RNAcentral.
UCCGGUUUGUCACCGGCAGUCCCAUUAGAGUGCUCAACUGAAUGUAGCAACUAAUGGCAAGGGUUGCGCUCGUUGCGGGACUUAACCCAACAUCUCACGACACGAGCUGACGACAGCCAUGCAGCACCUGUACAAGCUCCCCUUGCGGGACCCUGACUUUCAUCAGGUUUAGCUUGCGUUUCAAGCCUAGGUAAGGUUCUUCGCGUUGCGUCGAAUUAAACCACAUGCUCCACUGCUUGUGCGGGCCCCCGUCAAUUCCUUUGAGUUUCAACCUUGCGAUUGUACUUCCCAGGUGGAAUACUUAAUGCGUUAGCUUGGAUACUGAUCUUAAAAAAGACCAACAUCUAGUAUUCAUCGUUUAGGGUGUGGACUAC